RNAcentral lists this long non-coding RNA (1027 nucleotides) under Nicotiana tabacum (common tobacco). Its description in RNAcentral is "long non-coding RNA (NTAB_LNC001472)". The record is from RNAcentral. Lineage: Eukaryota; Viridiplantae; Streptophyta; Magnoliopsida; Solanales; Solanaceae.
AAAACAAGAAAAUUCAAAAAAAGAGGUCAGUUAGUAUCCUCGAACUUUGUCCCCAGCCAGUCAGCAUUAGGGUUUAAAAACCCUAAACUGAACUUUUUCCUUUAGUCAGCAUUAGGGUUUUACACCCUGAACUGAACUUUCCACUUGUCGGCAUUAGGGUUUUAAACCCUAAACUGAACUUUUCCAUUUAGUCAGCAUUAGGGUUCUAAACCCUAAACUGAACUUUUUUCCAUUUAGUCAGCAUUAGGGUUUUAAACCCUAAACUGAACUUUUCCACUUAGUCAGCAUUAGGGUUUUAAACCCUAAACUGAACUUUUUUCAUUCAGUCAGCAUUAGGGUUUUAAACCCUAAACUGAACUUUCCCAUUCAGUCAGUAUUAGGGUUUUAAACCCUAAACUGAACUUUUUUCCCUUUAGUCGGCAUUAGGGUUUUAAACCCUAAACUGAACUUUUCCAUUUAGUCAGCAUUAGGGUUUUAAACCCUAAACUGAACUCUUUUCCAUUUAGUCAGCAUUAGGGUUUUAAACCCUAAACUGAACUUUUCCAUUUAGUCAGCAUUAGGGUUUUAAACCCUAAACUGAACUCUUUUCCAUUUAGUCAGCAUUAGGGUUUUAAACCCUAAACUAAACUCUUUUCCAUUUAGUCAGCAUUAGGGUUUUAAAACCCUAAACUGAACUUUUCCUUUAGUCAGCAUUAGGGUUUUAAACCCUAAACUGAACUUUUCCUUUAGUCAGUAUUAGGGUUUUAAACCCUAAACUGAACUUUUUCCAUUCAGUCAGCAUUAGGGUUUUAAAACCCUAAACUGAACUUUUUCUUUUAGUCAGCAUUAGGGUUUUAAACCCUAAACUGACCUUUUUCCAUGUAGUCAGCAUUAGGGUUUUAAACCCUAAACUGAACUUUUUCCACUCAGUCAGCAUUAGGGUUUUAAACCCUAAACUGAACUUUUACUUUAGUCAGCAUUAGGGUUUUAAACCCUAAACUGAACUUUUUCCAUGUAGUCAGCAUCAGGGUUUUAAACUCUAAACUGA